GCGAACGGCUGAGUAAUACGUAGGAACUUGCCCCAAAGUGAGGGAUAACUCCGGGAAACCGGAGCUAAUACCGCAUGUGAUCUAAGGAUUAAAGCCUUCGGGCGCUUUGGGAGAGGCCUGCGUUCGAUUAGCUAGUUGGUGAGGUAAUGGCUCACCAAGGCUGCGAUCGAUAAUUGGUCUGAGAGGAUGACCAGUCAGACUGGAACUGAGACACGGUCCAGACUCCUACGGGAGGCAGCAGUAAGGAAUCUUCCACAAUGGGGGCAACCCUGAUGGAGCAACGCCGCGUGCAGGAUGAAGGCCUUCGGGUUGUAAACUGCUUCUAUGAGUGAAGAAUUUGACGGUAACUCAUGAAUAAGGAUCGGCUAACUCCGUGCCAGCAGCCGCGGUCAUACGGAGGAUCCGAGCGUUGUCCGGAAUUACUGGGCGUAAAGAGUUGCGUAGGUGGUUUGUAAAGCAAAUAGUGAAAUCAAGUGGCUCAACCAUUUGGCUAUUAUUUGAACUCACAAACUUGAGAACAUGAGAGGUAGAUGGAAUUCCCAAUGUAGGAGUGGAAUCCGUAGAUAUUGGGAGGAACACCGAUGGCGUAGGCGGUCUACUGGCAUGUUUCUGACACUGAUGCACGAAAGCGUGGGGAGCGAACCGGAUUAGAUACCCGGGUAGUCCACGCCGUAAACGAUGGAUGCUAGCUGUUGGCCGUAUCGACCCGGUCAGUAGCAAAGCUAACGCGUUAAGCAUCCCGCCUGGGGAGUACGGUCGCAAGAUUAAAACUCAAAGGAAUUGACGGGGACCCGCAC
This 797-nucleotide ribosomal RNA is filed under the name uncultured bacterium. Its description in RNAcentral is "bacterial SSU rRNA". It matches the Rfam family "Bacterial small subunit ribosomal RNA", at positions 98 to 926 of the family's 1533-position model. The record is from RNAcentral.